RNAcentral lists this ribosomal RNA (497 nucleotides) under uncultured bacterium. RNAcentral's name for it is "partial 16S ribosomal RNA". It matches the Rfam family "Bacterial small subunit ribosomal RNA", at positions 28 to 507 of the family's 1533-position model. The record is from RNAcentral.
GAUGAACGCUGGCGGCGUGCCUAAUACAUGCAAGUCGAGCGAACGGACGAGAAGCUUGCUUUUCUGAUGUUAGCGGCGGACGGGUGAGUAACACGUGGAUAACCUACCUAUAAGACUGGGAUAACUUCGGGAAACCGGAGCUAAUACCGGAUAAUAUUUUGAACCGCAUGGUUCAAAAGUGAAAGACGGUCUUGCUGUCACUUAUAGAUGGAUCCGCGCUGCAUUAGCUAGUUGGUAAGGUAACGGCUUACCAAGGCAACGAUGCAUAGCCGACCUGAGAGGGUGAUCGGCCACACUGGAACUGAGACACGGUCCAGACUCCUACGGGAGGCAGCAGUAGGGAAUCUUCCGCAAAGGGCGAAAGCCUGACGGAGCAACGCCGCGUGAGUGAUGAAGGUCUUCGGAUCGUAAAACUCUGUUGUUAGGGAAGAACAUAUGUGUAAGUAACUGUGCACAUCUUGACGGUACCUAAUCAGAAAGCCACGGCUAACUACGUG